UUCCUGAUAGCUCAAACGGUAAAGAAUCUGCCUUCAAUGCGGGAGACCCAGGUUAGAUCUCUGGGUCAGGAAG
Non-coding RNA from Bos taurus (domestic cattle), 73 nucleotides. Lineage: Eukaryota; Metazoa; Chordata; Mammalia; Artiodactyla; Bovidae. The record is from Rfam.